AGUGAGCAAGCCGUGGCCUCUGUCGAUUCCUGUAGCUUUGAUUGCAGAAGCCUCCAUCUAAGCACAUUUAUUGUAGUGUCUUUUGCAGUGACUCAGUGCAAUUCCUCUGUGCCACCCAGCCCAUAACAGACAUGCAGCUGGCAGUGCAAAUGCUGCCCAAAAGGCCUUCCUACCUUCAAAACCGGUCCUCUGUCCUUCCCUCAUCAUGGCUGAGGAGUGCUGGUUCUUCUUAGCUUAGCUUUUUCCCCCCUCAUUCCCCCCAUUUAUCUGCAUUUUUUGCCCUUUUUCUUCUUCCAGGCUUAUCUUGAUCACAACUACUGUGGCCUGCUUUAUAUGGCAGCAGGUCAGGAUAGGGAGCCUGGCAAAAUGUGCUGCUGAAGAGAGAGAGGAGAGAUGAAGGUAAUGCUUGUCUCAGCCCAGGUCUGGUGCGUUCAGACUGGCAGGAUCUUCCUGGGCCAUCCAAUUACAGUUUCUGUUGACACUUUUCAGCUCUUGCAUCCAGCUUGCUGACAGAGGAUGUUGGUUUGUGGGGCCUGGCAGCGAGAGUUUUCCGAAGAGGAGCUCUAAGGCCAGCUGCAAGGGUCACGUGAAACUGUCUGAUUUUGGGCUAAGCAGAGCUGUUCAGGAGGCUCAGAGACCUGAGCUCUCCAGGAACCUUGAACCCAGGCAGCCAGUGCCUUCUGUGAGUACAAGCUGUCCUUGUUCAACAGGGAAAUAGCUGAGAGCUGAAGCCAGCCCACACCAUAAUUCC
Long non-coding RNA from Dryobates pubescens (Downy woodpecker), 751 nucleotides. RefSeq lists it as uncharacterized. NCBI's taxonomy places the organism in Eukaryota, Metazoa, Chordata, Aves, Piciformes, Picidae. The record is from RefSeq and is a predicted model, not a curated record. The transcript is spliced from 3 exons.